AAGUCGAGCGCACCUUCGGGUGAGCGGCGGACGGGUGAGUAACGCGUGGGAACGUGCCCUUCUCUGCGGAAUAGCCACUGGAAACGGUGAGUAAUACCGCAUACGCCCUUCGGGGGAAAGAUUUAUCGGAGAAGGAUCGGCCCGCGUUAGAUUAGGUAGUUGGUGGGGUAAUGGCCUACCAAGCCUACGAUCUAUAGCUGGUUUGAGAGGAUGAUCAGCCACACUGGGACUGAGACACGGCCCAGACUCCUACGGGAGGCAGCAGUGGGGAAUCUUAGACAAUGGGCGCAAGCCUGAUCUAGCCAUGCCGCGUGAGUGAUGAAGGCCUUAGGGUCGUAAAGCUCUUUCGCUGGGGAAGAUAAUGACUGUACCCAGUAAAGAAACCCCGGCUAACUCCGUGCCAGCAGCCGCGGUAAUACGGAGGGGGUUAGCGUUGUUCGGAAUUACUGGGCGUAAAGCGCGCGUAGGCGGAUCAGAAAGUUGGGGGUGAAAUCCCGGGGCUCAACCUCGGAACUGCCUCCAAAACUCCUGGUCUUGAGUUCGAGAGAGGUGAGUGGAAUUCCGAGUGUAGAGGUGAAAUUCGUAGAUAUUCGGAGGAACACCAGUGGCGAAGGCGGCUCACUGGCUCGAUACUGACGCUGAGGUGCGAAAGUGUGGGGAGCAAACAGGAUUAGAUACCCUGGUAGUCCACACCGUAAACGAUGAAUGCCAGUCGUCGGCAAGCAUGCUUGUCGGUGACACACCUAACGGAUUAAGCAUUCCGCCUGGGGAGUACGGUCGCAAGAUUAAAACUCAAAGGAAUUGACGGGGGCCCCGCACAAGCGGUGGAGCAUGUGGUUUAAUUCGAAAGCAACGCGCAGAACCUUACCAACCCUUGACAUCCUAGGACCGCCAGAGAGAUCUGGCUUUCACUUCGGUGACCUAGUGACAGGUGCUGCAUGGCUGUCGUCAGCUCGUGUCGUGAGAUGUUCGGUUAAGUCCGGCAACGAGCGCAACCCACAUCUUCAGUUGCCAGCAGUUCGGCUGGGCACUCUGGAGAAACUGCCCGUGAUAAGCGGGAGGAAGGUGUGGAUGACGUCAAGUCCUCAUGGCCCUUACGGGUUGGGCUACACACGUGCUACAAUGGUGCCUACAGUGGGUUAAUCCCCAAAAGGCAUCUCAGUUCGGAUUGUCGUCUGCAACUCGACGGCAUGAAGUCGGAAUCGCUAGUAAUCGCGUAACAGCAUGACGCGGUGAAUACGUUCCCGGGCCUUGUACACACCGCCCGUCACACCAUGGGAGUUGGGUCUACCCGAAGACGGUGCGCCAACCUUUCGAGGGGCAGCU
This 1326-nucleotide ribosomal RNA is filed under the name Citreicella sp. BG-5-R6. RNAcentral describes it as "bacterial SSU rRNA". It matches the Rfam family "Bacterial small subunit ribosomal RNA". The record is from RNAcentral. Lineage: Bacteria; Pseudomonadati; Pseudomonadota; Alphaproteobacteria; Rhodobacterales; Roseobacteraceae.